AGUCCACACAAGUUUUGUUCCCAUACAUCCCUCUUAAGUUUCCAUACUUAAGUAAGGGUAUGUGAAAAGUAGUUAGGGUUGCCACCUUUCUUGGAAAAACAUACCAGCCUUGCUAAUUUGCAUAAUUAAAUAUGUGUGGGUGACAUCACAUGAUGUAAAUCACAAGGAGUGACAUAAGAGAAAAUGCUGUAAAAUCACCAAAAAACUACUUAGGUUGAUUCUGCUGUAUAGAUGGAUUCCUCCCAGUAGCCCCAUGUCUCCCAGUGCCCCCAUGUGUCGAUUACUCCUGGUCUCAGUGUUCCUAUGUAUCAGUGUCUCAGUGCCCCAUGUCUCCCAGUGUCCCCUAGUGUCGUGUCCUAUGUAUCACAGUGUCUCAAUGCCCCGUGUCUCCCUGUGUCCCC
Non-coding RNA from Pelobates cultripes (western spadefoot toad), 401 nucleotides. Lineage: Eukaryota; Metazoa; Chordata; Amphibia; Anura; Pelobatidae. The record is from the annotation of a GenBank genome assembly.